AUUGAACGCUGGCGGCAUGCCUUACACAUGCAAGUCGAACGGUAACAGGUCUUCGGAUGCUGACGAGUGGCGAACGGGUGAGUAAUGCAUCGGAACGUGCCCAGUAGUGGGGGAUAGCCCGGCGAAAGCCGGAUUAAUACCGCAUACGACCUGAGGGGGAAAGGGGGGGAUCGCAAGACCUCUCGCUUUUGGAGCGGCCGAUGUCAGAUUAGCUAGUUGGUGGGGUAAAGGCCUACCAAGGCAACGAUCUGUAGUUGGUCUGAGAGGACGACCAGCCACACUGGGACUGAGACACGGCCCAGACUCCUACGGGAGGCAGCAGUGGGGAAUUUUGGACAAUGGGCGCAAGCCUGAUCCAGCAAUGCCGCGUGCAGGAAGAAGGCCUUCGGGUUGUAAACUGCUUUUGUCAGGGAAGAAAUCUUCUGGGUUAAUACCUCGGGAGGACGACGGUACCUGAAGAAUAAGCACCGGCUAACUACGUGCCAGCAGCCGCCGUAA
RNAcentral lists this ribosomal RNA (498 nucleotides) under uncultured bacterium. RNAcentral describes it as "partial 16S ribosomal RNA". It matches the Rfam family "Bacterial small subunit ribosomal RNA", at positions 30 to 523 of the family's 1533-position model. The record is from RNAcentral.